RNAcentral lists this ribosomal RNA (464 nucleotides) under Streptococcus cristatus. Its description in RNAcentral is "bacterial SSU rRNA". It matches the Rfam family "Bacterial small subunit ribosomal RNA", at positions 28 to 477 of the family's 1533-position model. Lineage: Bacteria; Bacillati; Bacillota; Bacilli; Lactobacillales; Streptococcaceae. The record is from RNAcentral.
GACGAACGCGGCGGCGUGCCUAAUACAUGCAAGUAGAACGCUGAAGGAGGAGCUUGCUCUUCUGGAUGAGUUGCGAACGGGUGAGUAACGCGUAGGUAACCUGCCUGGUAGCGGGUGAUAACUAUUGGAAACGAUAGCUAAUACCGCAUAACAUUGACUAUUGCAUGAUAGUCAAUUGAAAGGUGCAAAUGCACCACUACCAGAUGGACCUGCGUUGUAUUAGCUAGUUGGUGGGGUAACGGCUCACCAAGGCUACGAUACAUAGCCGACCUGAGAGGGUGAUCGGCCACACUGGGACUGAGACACGGCCCAGACUCCUACGGGAGGCAGCAGUAGGGAAUCUUCGGCAAUGGACGGAAGUCUGACCGAGCAACGCCGCGUGAGUGAAGAAGGUUUUCGGAUCGUAAAGCUCUGUUGUAAGAGAAGAAACGAGUGUGAGAAGUGGAAAAGUUUCAACAACUGGG